RNAcentral lists this long non-coding RNA (419 nucleotides) under Aquilegia coerulea. RNAcentral describes it as "long non-coding RNA (ACOE_LNC000772)". Lineage: Eukaryota; Viridiplantae; Streptophyta; Magnoliopsida; Ranunculales; Ranunculaceae. The record is from RNAcentral.
AAUGGUUAUAAUAAAAUGAAAAUUUUUAUUGAUGGAAAAUACAAAUUAAAUUAGAAAAGAUUAGUUGAUUAUACAUCGUGAUGGAAAUGAAAUUUAACGUUUUCGUAUAUGUUGUCAUUGACCGCCACUAGAGCCUAUAAUGUAUCCAAUUUCUUCAUCAAUAACUCUCAACAACAUUAUCUCCCUUACCCUUGUUUUUCUUGUUAUCCAGUAGUUUUCGACCACCCACAACCAGAUAACAUUCAACAUCUUUGGUGCAAAGAUGGCUACGGCCUGCAGCUGGUGUUUUGCCCAAGAGGAUGCCACUUGGGUCUUCUAUAUCUGCAUUUGCUGCUUCAACAAAGAGAGAGCAAAUGAGAAAUGCAGCGAUGCAUAAACCCAAAACCCUCUUCAUGGCCAUGACAACAAGUAAUAAGCGC